CUUCAUCAGAUCUUGGGGUGGUGGCAGAGGGCAGAUGCCAAAUGCAGAAGUGCGGAUCUGUGGAAACAGCCCGAAGCUGUUCAUGUGAACUGUCAUAACUUCGGCAGGGCCGUGUGGUCACUAGUCACCUUGCUGGUCCUGGACGAGAUAAUUGCACAAUGAAGGUUUAUCUGCUUUCAAGAGGCUUACUGAAGUGUAACACUGCUAGAAAGGAGAUAUGAAUGCUACAGCCCUUGUGAUGAUUGAUCUUGUGGAGUUGAGUGGAUUGAGAAACAUCUAGGAAAUUAGGAAAGGAAAUUUAUAGGUGUCUAGGAAAGUGUCUCUAGAGAUGACUGGCAUGUGGGACAGCAAACUGAGUGUGUGUGGGGGAACCAGCCCUGAAUGUGAGGUGUCACCAAUGUUCUGUGGGGCCUAAAUGGAACAAAAA
Long non-coding RNA from Heterocephalus glaber (naked mole-rat), 427 nucleotides. The record is from Ensembl. NCBI's taxonomy places the organism in Eukaryota, Metazoa, Chordata, Mammalia, Rodentia, Bathyergidae.